This 397-nucleotide ribosomal RNA is filed under the name uncultured bacterium. RNAcentral's name for it is "bacterial SSU rRNA". It matches the Rfam family "Bacterial small subunit ribosomal RNA", at positions 358 to 772 of the family's 1533-position model. The record is from RNAcentral.
GGGAUAUUGCACAAUGGGGGAAACCCUGAUGCAGCGACGUCGCGUGUGGGAAGACGGACCUCUGGAUUGUAAACCACUGUCCCCAGGGACGAAGAUGACGGUACAUGGGGAGGAAGCUCCGGCUAACUACGUCCCAGCAGCCGCGGUAAUACGUAGGGAGCGAGCGUUGUCCGGAAUUACUGGGUGUAAAGGGAGCGUAGGCGGGACUGCAAGUUGGGUGUCAAAUCUACCGGCUCAACCGGUAGCCGCACUCAAAACUGCAGUUCUUGAGUGAAGUAGAGGCAGGCGGAAUUCCUAGUGUAGCGUUGAAAUGCGUAGAUAUUAGGAGGAACACCAGUGGCGAAGGCGGCCUGCUGGGCUUUUACCGACGCUGAGGCUCGAAAGUGUGGGGAGCAAA